This is a non-coding RNA of Pelobates cultripes (western spadefoot toad), 215 nucleotides long. The record is from the annotation of a GenBank genome assembly. NCBI's taxonomy places the organism in Eukaryota, Metazoa, Chordata, Amphibia, Anura, Pelobatidae.
AUUCCAUAGAGGCAAGUUGAUAUGGCGACCUAGGUAUUUCUCCCAGGCACCUCAUGCCUUAGAGAUAGAGGUCCUGCGAGGCCAACACCCAUCCUCCAUGAAAGAGGUAACAAAGCCCCACGGCCCAAAUUCAUAGCUAGACGCCUUGCAUGUUGCAUAGCAAGGGAAUCACUCGUCACACCCCCUCGGCAGAUCAAAGACUCAUCCCUUCUAAG